This is a long non-coding RNA of Herpailurus yagouaroundi (jaguarundi), 515 nucleotides long. RefSeq lists it as uncharacterized. The record is from RefSeq and is a predicted model, not a curated record. Lineage: Eukaryota; Metazoa; Chordata; Mammalia; Carnivora; Felidae. The transcript has 2 exons.
ACAUUGCACAUUCUCAGUAAAGGUUUCUGGAAUUAAUCCAUGGUUGUCACCAGCAGCAUGAUAAGAGCAAGAAGCCAUUUCACCAUCCAGAGAAGAGGAAAGACUGUUUUUCUCUUCAGAGUUUCCAGUCCCUGAGGAAAAAAGGCCAGCAAGGAAGCAUGGAGUAUAACACAAUUUAGAAAAUGCCCUGGGGAAAAACCAGAAGGAAGAUCAAGAAAAGGAAGAGGAAGAGCAGCAAGUCAAUGUUCUAAGGUAGCAGACCACCACCGACUCCACUUCUGAUGGUUUUAUGUGCUGGUGAUCCAACUGAUGGCUCUUCCAGGCCCUUCUUUGCCUCAGAAGUCCCUUGUUUAUGCCUGCAUUUGACGUUUGUCUUAGACAGUCUCACCACCAAGAGACAUGAGAAAAAGCCAUCGAAUUCAAAUCAAUAAAACUGUACUUCUUAUCCUUUUAAGAGGAGGGCUGGAAGAAUUAAAUACUUGACCAUAAUAAUAAUAGCAUUUAUUAAGCACUUA